This 3545-nucleotide long non-coding RNA is filed under the name Triticum aestivum (bread wheat). Its description in RNAcentral is "long non-coding RNA (TAES_LNC004609)". Lineage: Eukaryota; Viridiplantae; Streptophyta; Magnoliopsida; Poales; Poaceae. The record is from RNAcentral.
AAGGGAACAACGUAUGUUGUUAUGCGGUUCGACCGAUAAAGAUCUUCGUAGAAUAUGUGGGAGCCAAUAUGAGCAUCCAGGUUCCGCUAUUGGUUAUUGACCGGAGAUGAGUCUCGGUCAUGUCUACAUAGUUCUCAAACCCGUAGGGUCCGCACGCUUAACGUUCGAUGACGAUCGGUAUUAUGAGUUUAUGUGUUUUGAUGUACCGAAGGUUGUUCGGAGUCCCGGAUGUGAUCACGGACAUGACGAGGAGUCUCGAAAUGGUCGAGACAUAGAUUGAUAUAUUGGAAGGCUAUGUUUGGACACCGGAAAGGUUUCGGAUGAGUUCGGGCAUUUUCCGGAGUACCGGGGGGUUACUGGAACCCCCGGGGGCUUAAUGGGCCUACAUGGGCUUUAGUGGAAGAGAGAGGAGGCGGCCAAGAGGAGGGGCGCCCCCUAGCCCAAUCCGAAUUGGGAGGGGGCCGGGCCCCCUUUCCUUCUUCUCUUCUUCCCCUUCCUUCCCCCUCCUAUUAGGACUAGGAAAGGGGGGAACCUACUCCUAGUAGGAGUAGGAUUCCCCCCCUUAGGGGCGCACCAUGAGGCCGGCUGGCCCCCUCCUCCCCUCCUUUAUAUACGGGGGAGGGGCACCCCAUAGACACACAAGUUGAUUGUUUAGCCGUGUGCGGUGCCGCCCUCCACAGAUUUCCACCUCGGUCAUAUCGUCGUAGUGCUUAGGCGAAGCCCUGCACCGGUAACUUCAUCAUCACCAUCACCACGCCGUCGUGCUGACGGAACUCUCCCUCGGCCUCAGCUGGAUCUAGAGUUCGAGGGACGUCACCGAGCUGAACGUGUGCACAUCGCGGAGGUGCCGUGCGUUCGGUACUUGAUCGGUUGGAUCGCGAAGACGUUCGACUACAUCAACCGCGUUACUUAACGCUUCCGGUCUACGAGGGUACGUAGACACACUCUCCCGCUCGUUGCUAUGCAUCACAUAGAUAGAUCUUGCGUGAUCGUAGGUAAAUUUUUUGAAAUACUGCGUUCCCCAACAGUGGCAUCAGAGCCAGAUCUAUGCGUAGAUGUUAUAUGCACGAGUAGAACACAAAGAGUUGUGGGCGAUAAUAGUCAUACUGCUUACCAGCAUGUCAUACUUUGAUUCGGCGGUAUUGUUGGAUGAAGCGGCCCAGACCGAUAUUACAUGUCCGCGUUCAUGAGACUGGUUCUACCGCCGUGCUUCGCACACAGGUGGCUAGUGGGUGUCUAUUUCUCCAACUUUAGUUGAAUCGAGUGUGACUACGCCCGGUCCUUGUUGAAGGUUAAAACAGCACACUUGACGAAAAAUCGUUGUGGUUUUUGAUGCGUAGAUAAGAACGGUUCUUACUAAGACCGUAGCAACCAUGUAAAACUUUUGUUUUGCAGGGCAUGUUGUGAUGUGACAUGGUCAAGACGUGAUGAUAUAUAAAUUGUUGUAUGAGAUGAUCAUGUUUUGUAACAGUUAUCGGCAACUAGCAGGAGCCAUAUGGUUGUCGUUUUAUUGUAUGAAAUGCAAUCGCCAUGUAAUUGCUUUACUUUAUCACUAAGCGGUACCGAUAGUCGUAGUAGCAAUAGUUGGCGAGACGACAACGAUGCUUCGAUGGAGAUCAAGGUGUCAAGCCGGUGAAGAUGGUGAUCAUGACAGUGCUUUGGAGAUGGAGAUCAAAGGCACCCGAUCAUCACGUGGUGUCUCGGCACGACGAACUGUCACAACGGUGCAUACUCAGGGAGAACACUUAUACCUUGAAAUUUAGUGAGAGACCAUCUUAUAAUGCUACCAUCGAACUAAGCAAAAUAAGAUGCAUAAAGGAUAAACAUCACAUGCAAUCAAAUAUAAGUGAUAUGAUAUGGCCAUCAAUACUCAGGUUAAACUUGACGAGCCUAGCAUAUGCAGAUAUGGCCUCGGAGCACUGAGACCGAAAGGUCGAGCGUGAAUCAUAUAGUAGAUAUGAUCAACAUAGUGAUGUUCACCAUUGAAAACUACUCCAUCUCAUGUGAUGAUCGGACAUGAUUUAAUUAAUAUGGAUCACGUGAUCACUUAGAUGAUUAGAGGGAUGUCUAUCUAAAUGGGAGUUCUUAAGUAAUAUGAUUAAUUGAACUUCAAUUUAUCAUGAACUUAGUACCUUGAUCGAUUGUAAGUGCAGCGGGAUAUUUCGUCCGAACCUGCGAGUGUCGUGUUCUCCUCAGGGACUAGGCAAGUCAAUGAUCGUGCUCAGAUAAAGCUAGGUAACACAAUUUAGAUUAUGAAUGCAAGAAAAUAAACCUAAUUAAACAAGGUAGUUCCCGAAGAUCGUCGCCAAAGAAAAUGCAAAAUAAGCAAAGGGGAGGUUCAGAUUGUCUAUAUUGUCUUUUUGGUGUUUUCCUAUUACUUGAGAAACUAAAAUGCUAACACAAAAGGAAACAACAGGACAUGAACACAUAUAUUUAUCUAACAAGCAUAUGACAGAGGGAAGAAACAAGAUAAUGGACAAGGAUGAAAAUGCUUCAUGUCACAACAUAUAUUACAGGUACAGAGCUAAUACAUAGACUGAAAAUUGAAUGAUCACACAACUGGCUACCACAGAGAGUAAUUUCAAUACAAAAUAAAAUCACAAAUAGUAACAUGAAUUUGUUACAGUGAGCUAGCUGACAUGGUUUACAUCACAAAACACACGUGUAUUUAUAUAGCACAUGUACUGGAGCUAACACAUGGACAACUGAAUAAAUUUCUGCAGUAAGGAACAAACACAUAAGGGAUCUCACACAUACAGUAGCAGAAUACUAAUUAACACAUGACAAGUACGAACUGAACAUAUAGCAGAUUACAGGCACUUAUAGAAUCUGAAUAUUACAAAGCUUCUUACUUCUCAAAUUACAGAAUAUUUAGAGAGAGAGAGAGAGAGAGAGAGAGAGAGAGAGAGAGAGAGAUGGCAGCAGCAAAAGGUGUAGGAGAAGAGAGGCAGCAGCAGAGGCAUGGGCAAGAAGGGGGCAGCAGCAGUUUUGGGGAGAAGAAGAAGGAGCAGCAGCAGCGUGGAGGGUUCAGCAGGGGCAGCAGCAAAGAUGUGGGAGAGAGAGAGAUCGCAGCAGGUGAAGGAAGAGGAGAGGAACAGCAGCAAGGAGCGAAGGGCGUAGAAGAAUUGCAGGUUGAAGAUGGGAGGAGCAGCAGAAGGUUGAGGAAGGCGAGGGGAAACAGCAGGGAGCAGCGGAGGUAAGGGAAGAAAGGCAGCAGAGAGAGAUGGAGAAGGAGUGGAGUCGCGCGGAGGAGGUGGUGGCGCGGUGGUGAUGGUCGUGGCUGGCGGUGCUGGAGAUGGUGAUGGAUGGCGCGGUGGUUCGAGGUGGUGAUGGGGCGCUGGCAGCGGCGGGUGGUGGAGAUGGAGUGGAUGAUGGAGUGGUGGCUGGAUGGAUGGCGCACCGCCACGCCGGCCUGGCCGCGGCGGCGGCCGGAGGGUGGAGAAGGGGAUCGGGAGAGAGAGAUGGAGAUAUGCCAGGCCCGAAGAGAUCGAAGGGAGCUGCUAGGGAUUUUGUUCCCCAUCUGAUCUGCCACUUUUGCACAUUAG